GUGCUCGUUUUGGCAGCAUAUAUACUAAAAUUGGAACGAUACAGAGAAGAUUAGAAUGGCCCCUGGGCAAGUGUGACAUGCAAAUUCAUAAAGCAUUCCAUAUUCUU
Molecule: small nuclear RNA, 107 nt
Organism: Choloepus didactylus (southern two-toed sloth)
Lineage: Eukaryota; Metazoa; Chordata; Mammalia; Pilosa; Megalonychidae
Source: RefSeq, a predicted model, not a curated record